RNAcentral lists this ribosomal RNA (380 nucleotides) under Liometopum microcephalum. RNAcentral's name for it is "partial 12S ribosomal RNA". The record is from RNAcentral. Lineage: Eukaryota; Metazoa; Arthropoda; Insecta; Hymenoptera; Formicidae.
CUGGGAUUAGAUACCCUGUUAUUUAAAUAUAAAAAUAAUAAAAUUAAGUAUUAAAUGAAAAACAUUAAAUUUAAAUAAUUUGGCGGUAUUUUUUAAUUAGAGGAACUUGUUUUUUAAUUGAUAAUCCACGAUUAUAUUUACUUAAUUAAUAUAAAAUUUUAUGUAUUGUUGUUUUUAAUUUAUCAUAAAUAUGAUAUAUAUUUGAAAUUUUUGAUAUAAAAAUAAUUCAAAUCAAAAUGUAGAAUUGUUAAGAUAAAAUGAGUUACAAUUAAUUUAAUUAAUGGAUUAUGAUAAAUAAUUAUUUUAAAUAAAUUGGAUUUAAAAGUAAAUUUAAUUAAAUAAUUAAAUUGAAAUAUAAAAAAAAUGUGUACAAAUCGCCC